RNAcentral lists this ribosomal RNA (496 nucleotides) under uncultured bacterium. RNAcentral's name for it is "partial 16S ribosomal RNA". It matches the Rfam family "Bacterial small subunit ribosomal RNA", at positions 29 to 507 of the family's 1533-position model. The record is from RNAcentral.
AUGAACGCUGGCGGCGUGCCUAAUACAUGCAAGUCGAGCGAACGGACGAGAAGCUUGCUUCUCUGAUGUUAGCGGCGGACGGGUGAGUAACACGUGGAUAACCUACCUAUAAGACUGGGAUAACUUCGGGAAACCGGAGCUAAUACCGGAUAAUAUUUUGCACCGCCUGGUUCAAAAGUGAAAGACGGUCUUGCUGUCACUUAUAGAUGGAUCCGCGCUGCAUUAGCUAGUUGGUAAGGUAACGGCUUACCAAGGCAACGAUGCAUAGCCGACCUGAGAGGGUGAUCGGCCACACUGGAACUGAGACACGGUCCAGACUCCUACGGGAGGCAGCAGUAGGGAAUCUUCCGCAAUGGGCCAAAACCUGACGGAGCAACGCCGCGUGAGUGAUGAAGGUCUUCGGAUCGUAAAACUCUGUUAUUAGGGAAGAACAUAUGUGUAAGUAACUGUGCACAUCUUGACGGUACCUAAUCAGAAAGCCACGGCUAACUACGUG